UUUCCGUAGGUGAACCUGCGGAAGGAUCAUUAUUGUAUAGCCGAGGUGUGAGGGCUGUCGCUGACCCGAAAGGUCGUGCACGCCCGAGUGCCCUCACACACAUCCAUCUCACCCCUAUGUGCACCACCGCGUGGGUCCCCCUUUGGCUUGUUCGGAGGGGGGCUUACGUUUUCACACAAACUUUGUAUGCAGUGUAGAAUGUAUUUUUUGUUUUUGCGAUCACGCAAUCAAUACAACUUUCAACAACGGAUCUCUUGGCUCUC
RNAcentral lists this unclassified non-coding RNA (263 nucleotides) under plant metagenome. RNAcentral describes it as "partial contains small subunit ribosomal RNA, internal transcribed spacer 1, and 5.8S ribosomal RNA". The record is from RNAcentral.